AUUGAACGCUGGCGGCAGGCCUAACACAUGCAAGUCGAGCGGAGCGGCGGACGGGUGAGUAAUGCCUAGGAAUCUGCCUGGUAGUGGGGGAUAACGUCCGGAAACGGGCGCUAAUACCGCAUACUAUCAGAUGAGCCUAGGUCGGAUUAGCUAGUUGGUGGGGUAAAGGCCCACCAAGGCGACGAUCAGUAGCUGGUCUGAGAGGACGAUCAGCCACACUGGGACUGAGACACGGCCCAGACUCCUACGGGAGGCAGCAGUGGGGAAUUUUGGACAAUGGGCGAAAGCCUGAUCCAGCCAUGCCGCGUGUGUGAAGAAGGCCUUCGGGUUGUAAAGCACUUUUGUCCGGAAAGCGGUACCGGAAGAAUAAGGACCGGCUAACUACGUGCCAGCAGCCGCGGUAAUUC
Molecule: ribosomal RNA, 407 nt
Filed under: uncultured bacterium
Lineage: Bacteria
Description: partial 16S ribosomal RNA
Rfam family: Bacterial small subunit ribosomal RNA
Source: RNAcentral